UACGUAGGGGGCGAGCGUUGUCCGGAUUUAUUGGGCGUAAAGAGCUCGUAGGCGGUUGGGUAAGUCGGGUGUGAAAACUCAGGGCUCAACUCUGAGACGCCACUCGAUACUGCUCUGACUCGAGUCCGGUAGGGGAGCGUGGAAUUCCCGGUGUAGCGGUGAAAUGCGCAGAUAUCGGGAGGAACACCAGUGGCGAAGGCGGCGCUCUGGGCCGGAACUGACGCUGAGGAGCGAAAGCGUGGGUAGCAAACAGGAUUAGAAACCCCCGUAGUCC
This 274-nucleotide ribosomal RNA is filed under the name uncultured bacterium. RNAcentral's name for it is "partial 16S ribosomal RNA". It matches the Rfam family "Bacterial small subunit ribosomal RNA", at positions 524 to 796 of the family's 1533-position model. The record is from RNAcentral.